CUUUUGCUGGCGACCGGCGCACGGGUGAGUAACACGUAUCCAACCUGCCCUUUACUCGGGGAUAGCCUUUCGAAAGAAAGAUUAAUACCCGAUAGCAUAAUGAUUCCGCAUGGUUUCAUUAUUAAAGGAUUCCGGUAAAGGAUGGGGAUGCGUUCCAUUAGGUUGUUGGUGAGGUAACGGCUCACCAAGCCUUCGAUGGAUAGGGGUUCUGAGAGGAAGGUCCCCCACAUUGGAAUGAGACACGGUCCAA
RNAcentral lists this ribosomal RNA (250 nucleotides) under uncultured bacterium. RNAcentral describes it as "partial 16S ribosomal RNA". It matches the Rfam family "Bacterial small subunit ribosomal RNA", at positions 78 to 334 of the family's 1533-position model. The record is from RNAcentral.